AACUUUCAACAACGGAUCUCUUGGUUCUGGCAUCGAUGAAGAACGCAGCGAAAUGCGAUAAGUAAUGUGAAUUGCAGAAUUCAGUGAAUCAUCGAAUCUUUGAACGCACAUUGCGCCCUGUGGUAUUCCGCAGGGGCAUGCCUGUUCGAGCGUCAUU
Molecule: ribosomal RNA, 157 nt
Filed under: ascomycete sp. OS-S90
Lineage: Eukaryota; Fungi; Ascomycota
Also listed under: 1 other name
Description: 5.8S ribosomal RNA
Rfam family: 5.8S ribosomal RNA
About the family: 5.8S ribosomal RNA (5.8S rRNA) is a component of the large subunit of the eukaryotic ribosome. It is transcribed by RNA polymerase I as part of the 45S precursor that also contains 18S and 28S rRNA. Functionally, it is thought that 5.8S rRNA may be involved in ribosome translocation.
Source: RNAcentral